Betta splendens (Siamese fighting fish) is the source of this 1592-nucleotide long non-coding RNA. RefSeq lists it as uncharacterized. NCBI's taxonomy places the organism in Eukaryota, Metazoa, Chordata, Actinopteri, Anabantiformes, Osphronemidae. The transcript has 5 exons. The record is from RefSeq and is a predicted model, not a curated record.
UUUAAAAUGCCAUCAUCUUUUUUACUCUUAUCAUUCCUAGAUGGAUUUGCACUCAAUUUAUGAAAAACAGGAGACACCCCACUUUAAGCUGCCACCAUUACACACACAUGUGGUGGCUAAAGCUGUUCAGCCCAGGGUUGUGUCCUGGGCAUUUGAAGACGAUUUGGCUAAACCGGUGACCAAAAAGACCAAUAAAAUAGCGGCCAUAUCCGAUAGAAAAAAUGUGGCCAAAAUUACCAUUUUUCAGGAGUAUGCAGAGAAAAUUGCAGGGGGGAGGAAUUACAUACUAAGGGGGUAUGCCUUAAGAGGAAAUACACCACCUUAUCGUUCCUAAGGAGACAGUUUUUCCCGCUGUGCUCCGCUGGACAUAUCCGAAGAGUUACUCCAGGAGGGAGAGGCGCUCAUACAUCCAACCUCACCACUGACCCCACUCACUAUAUGCAGAGGCACUCAAGGCUUCAUCUCUGUGCAGGGUGAAGUCAUUGAAAUAAGUCCAUUCAUAAUCAGCAAAGCACAUUGAUUUAUAUUGACGAAAUGACAUCUUAUCAGUCUUCCUUUCUUCUUUUAAGGUAUCAGCUUUGAAAAAUGUUCAGUAGGGGAAAGAAGCCCUUCCCCUAAAAAACCUCAAGAUACAGCAGAGGGAGGCAGCAAUGGAAGAUCUGCAGCUGGGGUCCUAUAUACGGGUGUCGCACCUUAAAGCAAAGAGUCUAUGAACUCCGGCUGCAGUCAACAACAUACAAAGUUUGAGCUUUAAAAAAAGGUCCCAAACAUUACCAGCCAGGAGCUCAGAAGGGUCACUGAAACAAAUGUUCUUUCAAUGUUCUCUGGAGCAAGAAGCAAAAGAUAAGGUGGCUCAUUAUAUGGCCCACACAACAGCUGUGGCAAAGUCACAUUAGAUGAAAACAGCAGAAGAAACUGGCCACUGCAAACAUUAUGGCCAGUUUAACUGAUUGCAGCUCAGAUGAGACAAGAACUGGAGCAAAAAAGGAGGAGCCAGCAAUUCCAGCCUUGCAAGAUGGCAGAAAAGUUUGCGGUGACCAUGAAUGGGAAGUUACCCUCAAAGAUAAAUGCUGGGUGCCCUGCAAUGGACUGGCAACCUGUUCAGGGUGUACCCCGCGUCUCACCCUCAGCUAGCUGGAAUAGGCUUCAGCCCCUCCAGUGACUCCAAUUGGGACCAAGUGGGAGAAAAUGGAUGGAUAAAUGCUCGGUUCCAAGUGGAGAGAAGCGUCUAUGAUAAGUGGAGGGCUGCCCAGUUUCAAAAAUAAAGAGCAUCUACUGUCAAAAUGUUACAGGCGGCAGCCCACAGUGGCCAAAGUAACUAAAAUCAUUGAAGCAAAGGGCUGGAGUGCAAAUUACCCUUCCCCAGCACACAUGAAAUGGAGACCAUCCAAAAAAAAUAAAUAAAAAAAUAAAAGGUUAAGGUUGGUGAUGCCAGUGCAUCACAGGCUUAAUGCAGUUACUGCAAGCAAAUAAAUAUUUAAACUACUUAUGUGUUAAUCACUUUAAUCUUGCUGGUUUAUUUCAACUAUAGUUGACACGUGUGUGGUUUCAAACCACCGUGACUGCGACCGUGACUCUCAAACAACACAGGU